UACGUAGGGGGCAAGCGUUGUCCGGAAUCAUUGGGCGUAAAGCGCGUGUAGGCGGCUUGGUAAGUCUGCUCUGAAAGCCCGGGGGCUCAACCCCGGGAGGCGGGUGGAUACUGUCAAGCUCGAGUCCGGAAGAGGAGUGUGGAAUUCCUGGUGUAGCGGUGAAAUGCGCAGAUAUCAGGAGGAACACCAAUGGCGAAGGCAGCACUCUGGGACGUGACUGACGCUGAGACGCGAAAGCGUGGGAGCAAACAGG
RNAcentral lists this ribosomal RNA (253 nucleotides) under uncultured bacterium. RNAcentral describes it as "partial 16S ribosomal RNA". It matches the Rfam family "Bacterial small subunit ribosomal RNA", at positions 524 to 776 of the family's 1533-position model. The record is from RNAcentral.